GAACGCACCUUGCGCUCCUUGGUAUUCCGAGGAGCAUGCCUGUUUGAGUGUCAUUAAUAUAUCAACCUCUUCAGCUUAUGCUUGUUGAGUGUUGGAUGUGGGGGGGGUAUUUUUUUUGCUGGUAUCUUAUGAAGUCAGCUCCCCUGAAAUGCAUUAGCGGAACAAUUUGUUGACCGUUCAUUGGUGUGAUAAAUAUCUACGCUAUUGACGUCAGUCAGUUCAGCUUCUAACAGUCCAUUGACUUGGACAAAAUUUUCAUUAAUGUGACCUCAAAUCAGGUAGGACUACCCGCUGAACUUAAG
This 302-nucleotide unclassified non-coding RNA is filed under the name Cortinarius infractus. Its description in RNAcentral is "sequence contains 5.8S rRNA gene". The stretch from base 1 to 53 matches the Rfam family "5.8S ribosomal RNA", at positions 102 to 154 of the family's 154-position model. The record is from RNAcentral. Lineage: Eukaryota; Fungi; Basidiomycota; Agaricomycetes; Agaricales; Cortinariaceae.